RNAcentral lists this ribosomal RNA (454 nucleotides) under uncultured bacterium. RNAcentral describes it as "bacterial SSU rRNA". It matches the Rfam family "Bacterial small subunit ribosomal RNA", at positions 340 to 786 of the family's 1533-position model. The record is from RNAcentral.
UACGGGAGGCAGCAGUGGGGAAUAUUGCACAAUGGGCGCAAGCCUGAUGCAGCCAUGCCGCGUGUAUGAAGAAGGCCUUCGGGUUGUAAAGUACUUUCAGCGGGGAGGAAGGCGAUGCGGUUAAUAACCGCGUCGAUUGACGUUACCCGCAGAAGAAGCACCGGCUAACUCCGUGCCAGCAGCCGCGGUAAUACGGAGGGUGCAAGCGUUAAUCGGAAUUACUGGGCGUAAAGCGCACGCAGGCGGUCUGUUAAGUCAGAUGUGAAAUCCCCGGGCUUAACCUGGGAACUGCAUUUUGAAACUGGCAGGCUUGAGUCUUGUAGAGGGGGUAGAAUUCCAGGUGUAGCGGUGAAUGCGUAGAGAUCUGGAGGAAUACCGGUGGCGAAGGCGGCCCCUGGGACAAGACUGACGCUCAGGUGCGAAAGCGUGGGGAGCGAAACAGGAUUAGGAUACC